RNAcentral lists this non-coding RNA (28 nucleotides) under Rattus norvegicus (Norway rat). Lineage: Eukaryota; Metazoa; Chordata; Mammalia; Rodentia; Muridae. The record is from RNAcentral.
UGAGCACAAAACAAAGUGGAUCCAAAGC